Molecule: transfer RNA, 36 nt
Filed under: Aristelliger lar (spotted Caribbean gecko)
Lineage: Eukaryota; Metazoa; Chordata; Lepidosauria; Squamata; Sphaerodactylidae
Description: tRNA-Ala
Source: RNAcentral
CAUUCAGAAGAUGUAUAUUAAAGUUUUGCAGGUCUU